RNAcentral lists this transfer RNA (76 nucleotides) under Candidatus Lumbricidiphila eiseniae. RNAcentral's name for it is "Candidatus Lumbricidophila eiseniae tRNA-Lys". It matches the Rfam family "tRNA". From Rfam's summary of the family: Transfer RNA (tRNA) molecules are approximately 80 nucleotides in length. Lineage: Bacteria; Bacillati; Actinomycetota; Actinomycetes; Micrococcales; Microbacteriaceae. The record is from RNAcentral.
GGGCCUGUAGCUCAGUUGGUAGAGCAGUGGACUUUUAAUCCAUGGGUCGCGGGUUCGAGCCCCGCCGGGCCCACCG